This 245-nucleotide long non-coding RNA is filed under the name Zostera marina. Its description in RNAcentral is "long non-coding RNA (ZMAR_LNC004089)". The record is from RNAcentral. Lineage: Eukaryota; Viridiplantae; Streptophyta; Magnoliopsida; Alismatales; Zosteraceae.
UUACUGACCUUGCCGUGCGGGGCUGCUCCUCGUGCCACUCCUUCCUAUGCUCAAUAAAUCCUCGAUUGAUCUGGCCGAAGCGACAGAUCUAUCGUGCUCAUGGUUUGACAGCUUCUGGCCAAAGCGACAGAAGUGUCGGGAAGAGUUUAUGAUACUCCCCCCCGAGUUUGACGACUUCUGGCCGAAGCGACAGAAGUGUCGGGAAGAGCUUGGGAUACUCCCCCCUUGAGAUCAUUAAGGCCGAA